This 503-nucleotide ribosomal RNA is filed under the name uncultured Bacillota bacterium. Its description in RNAcentral is "bacterial SSU rRNA". It matches the Rfam family "Bacterial small subunit ribosomal RNA", at positions 355 to 851 of the family's 1533-position model. The record is from RNAcentral. Lineage: Bacteria; Bacillati; Bacillota.
UAGGGAAUCUUCCGCAAUGGACGAAAGUCUGACGGAGCAACGCCGCGUGAGCGAAGAAGGCCUUCGGGUCGUAAAGCUCUGUUGUUAGGGAAGAACAAGUAUCGGAGUAACUGCCGGUACCUUGACGGUACCUAACCAGAAAGCCACGGCUAACUACGUGCCAGCAGCCGCGGUAAUACGUAGGUGGCAAGCGUUGUCCGGAAUUAUUGGGCGUAAAGCGCGCGCAGGCGGUCCUUUAAGUCUGAUGUGAAAGCCCACGGCUCAACCGUGGAGGGUCAUUGGAAACUGGGGGACUUGAGUGCAGAAGAGGAGAGUGGAAUUCCACGUGUAGCGGUGAAAUGCGUAGAGAUGUGGAGGACACCAGUGGCGAAGGCGACUCUCUGGUCUGUAACUGACGCUGAGGCGCGAAAGCGUGGGGAGCAAACAGGAUUAGAUACCCUGGUAGUCCACGCCGUAAACGAUGAGUGCUAAGUGUUAGAGGGUUUCCGCCUUUAGUGCUGCAG